This 253-nucleotide ribosomal RNA is filed under the name uncultured bacterium. RNAcentral describes it as "partial 16S ribosomal RNA". It matches the Rfam family "Bacterial small subunit ribosomal RNA", at positions 524 to 776 of the family's 1533-position model. The record is from RNAcentral.
AACGUAGGUACCGAGCGUUAUCCGGAUUCACUGGGCGUAAAGCGCGUGCAGGUGGUUUGGUAAGUCGGGCAUGAAAACUCUUGGCUCAACUAAGAGACGCUGUCCGAUACUGCCAGACUUGAGGGUGUGAGAGGGAGGUGGAAUUCCGCGUGUAGUGGUGAAAUGCGCAGAUAUGCGGAGGAACACCAGUGGCGAAGGCGGCCUCCUGGCACACUCCUGACACUCAGACGCGAAAGCUAGGGGAGCGAACGGG